This is a long non-coding RNA of Acinonyx jubatus (cheetah), 701 nucleotides long. RefSeq lists it as uncharacterized. NCBI's taxonomy places the organism in Eukaryota, Metazoa, Chordata, Mammalia, Carnivora, Felidae. The transcript has 3 exons. The record is from RefSeq and is a predicted model, not a curated record.
CAGUCUCAUUCGAGAAAGGAGGUGCUAUGUAUGGGAGAACUGAGCUGCUACAUCCUUAUAUAUUUAUGUAUAGUCAAAAUACAUCGGCGGUUUUUAUACAGUUUCUACUUGCCAGAAAGCAGUGCUUGAAUAUUUGAAACUGUGUGCUGUUAUAUUUAGUGUCCUGGUUGUUAGAAUGUUCUUUUGCAGGCAACAUGUCAUAAUGUAGUCAUCCAUUUCCAUGAUUGUUAUCAAGUUACACUGUGAAGUUUGCAGUGUAUCAGGUUACACUGUUGAAGUGAUCAUCAAAGGCACGACUGCUUGGUGUUUAACCAAGGGUCUGAAAACCCCUAGAUCCAUCCAUGUUUGUUGCAAAUGGCAAGAUCUCUGGAUGAGAUUUAUAUUUCAACUGGUGGACUUUGAGUAAAGCAGAUUGCCAUCCAUACUGCAGCUUCUUCCUAGGGCUCUUGGGACAUUCUCUCUAGGAACCCUGAGAUGGCCCCAACUGCCAUGCUGGAAAGGCCACAAGAAGGUGUCCCCCUGAGUAAUCUGAAAUGCAUCCAGUCUUCAAGCCAUUUUCACCAAGGUGUCAGGCACUGAGUGAAGCUUUCUGGAACCCUCCAGAUCAGGCCAUCUGCCAGGAGUAUAAACCAUUGACACCAACAGGAGAGUCAAUCAAGCCUUGCCCAAACUCCUGAGCAAUAAAACUUUAAGAUAUACUA